GGGACCCGCACAAGCAGCGGAGCGUGUGGUUUAAUUCGUUGCUACACGAAGAACCUUACCUGGGUUUGACAUAUAGGUUGUAGGGAACUGAAAGGGACCGACCCUUCGGGGAGCCUAUACAGGUGUUGCAUGGCUGUCGUCAGCUCGUGUCGUGAGAUGUUCGGUUAAGUCCGCUAACGAGCGCAACCCUCGUCGUAUGUUAUAUGUGUCAUACGAGACUGCCGGUAAAAGCCGGAGGAAGGUGAGGAUGAUGUCAAGUCAGCAUGACCUUUAUAUCCAGGGCUACACACACGCUACAAUGGUCUGUACAAUGGGUAGCCAAGCCGCGAGGCGGAGCCAAUCCUGAAAGCAGGCCUCAGUUCAGAUUGCAGUCUGCAACUCGACUGCAUGAAGCCGGAGUUGCUAGUAACCGCAGGUCAGCAAUACUGCGGUGAAUACGUUCCCGGGGCUU
RNAcentral lists this ribosomal RNA (451 nucleotides) under uncultured Anaerolineaceae bacterium. RNAcentral's name for it is "bacterial SSU rRNA". It matches the Rfam family "Bacterial small subunit ribosomal RNA", at positions 916 to 1382 of the family's 1533-position model. The record is from RNAcentral. Lineage: Bacteria; Bacillati; Chloroflexota; Anaerolineae; Anaerolineales; Anaerolineaceae.